CGGACGGGUGAGUAACACGUGGGAACGUGCCCUUUGGUUCGGAACAACUCAGGGAAACUUGAGCUAAUACCGGAUGAGCCCUUCGGGGGAAAGAUUUAUCGCCAUUGGAGCGGCCCGCGUCUGAUUAGCUAGUUGGUGGGGUAAAGGCCCACCAAGGCGACGAUCAGUAGCUGGUCUGAGAGGAUGAUCAGCCACAUUGGGACUGAGACACGGCCCAAACUCCUACGGGAGGCAGCAGUGGGGAAUCUUGCGCAAUGGGCGAAAGCCUGACGCAGCCAUGCCGCGUGAAUGAUGAAGGUCUUAGGAUUGUAAAAUUCUUUCACCGGGGACGAUAAUGACGGUACCCGGAGAAGAAGCCCCGGCUAACUUCGUGCCAGCAGCCGCGGUAAUACGAAGGGGGCUAGCGUUGCUCGGAAUUACUGGGCGUAAAGGGAGCGUAGGCGGACUGUUUAGUCAGAGGUGAAAGCCCAGGGCUCAACCUUGGAAUUGCCUUUGAUACUGGCAGUCUUGAGUACGGAAGAGGUAUGUGGAACUCCGAGUGUAGAGGUGA
RNAcentral lists this ribosomal RNA (550 nucleotides) under bacterium BaC1-15. RNAcentral's name for it is "bacterial SSU rRNA". It matches the Rfam family "Bacterial small subunit ribosomal RNA", at positions 99 to 684 of the family's 1533-position model. The record is from RNAcentral.